UACGGAGGGGGCUAGCGUUAUUCGGAAUUACUGGGCGUAAAGCGCACGUAGGCGGACGGAGAAGUCAGAGGUGAAAUCCCAGGGCUCAACCUUGGAACUGCCUUUGAAACUUUUCGUCUUGAGGUCGAGAGAGGUGAGUGGAAUUCCGAGUGUAGAGGUGAAAGUCGUAGAUAUUCGGAGGAACACCAGAGGCGAAGGCGGCUCACUGGCUCGAUACUGACGCUGAGGUGCGAAAGCGUGGGGAGCAAACAGG
This 253-nucleotide ribosomal RNA is filed under the name uncultured bacterium. RNAcentral's name for it is "partial 16S ribosomal RNA". It matches the Rfam family "Bacterial small subunit ribosomal RNA", at positions 524 to 776 of the family's 1533-position model. The record is from RNAcentral.